GGCAACCUGCUCAGGUCCCCUUCCACGCCAUGGAAGCUUUGUUCUUUUGCUCUUUGCAAUAAAUCUUGCUGCUGUUCACUCUUUGGGUCCACAUGGCCUUUAUGAGCUGUAACACUCACCAUGAAGGUCUGCAGCUUCACUCCUGAAGCCAGUGAGAUCAUGGACCCCUGGGGAGGGACGAACAACUCCAGACGCGCCACCUUUAAGAGCUGUAACACUCACUGCGAAGGUCUGCAGCUUCACUCCUGAAGUCAGCGAGACCACAAACCCACCAGAAGGAAGAAACUCCAGACACAUCUGAACAUCUGAAGGAAUGAACUCUGGACACACAAUCUUUAAGAACUGUAACACUCACUGCGAGGGUCCAUGGCUUCAUUCUUGAAGUCAGCAAGACCAAGAACCCACUAAUUCUGGACACAUUUUGGCAGCCCAGAUGGGACUAUCGCCUAUCACCAAGCGAUGGGAAACACUCAGGCAUCAACAGGCUCACCCUUGAAAUGCAUCCUCAGCCAUUGGGACCAAUUUGACCCACAAACCCUGAAAAAGAAGCGGCUCAUUUUUUUCUGCACUACAGCUUGGCCCCAAUAUUCUCUCUCUGAUAGGGAAAAAUGGCCACCUGAGGGAAGUACAAAUUACAAUACUAUCCUGCAGCUUGACCUUUUCUGUAAGAGGGAAGGCAAAUGGAGUGAAAUACCUUAUGUCCAAGCUUUCUUUUCAUUGAAGGAGAAUACACAACUAUGCAAAGCUUGCAAUUUACAUCCCACAGGAGGACCUCUCAGCUUACCCCCAUAUACUAGACUCCCUAUAGCUCCCCUUCCUAUGAAUGAUAAUACUCCUCUAAUCUCCCCUGCCCAGAAGGAAAUAAGCAAAGAAAUCUCCAAAGGACCACAAACCCCCCCGGGCUAUCGGUUAUGUCCCCUUCAAGCUUGUAGGGGGAGGGGAAUUUGGCCCAACCCGGGUACAUGUCCCCUUCUCCCUCUCUGAUUUAAAGCAGAUCAAGGCAGACCUGGGGAAGUUUUCAGAUGAUCCUGGUAGGUACAUAAAUGUCCUACAGGGUCUAGGGCAAACCUUCAACCUCGCUUGGAGAGAUGUCAUGCUGCUGUUAGAUCAAACCCUGGCCUUUAAUGAAAACAAUGCAGCUUUAGCUGCAGCCCAAGAGUUUGGAGAUACUUGGUAUCUUAGUCAAGUAAAUGAUAAAAUGACAGCCGAAGAAAGUGAUAAAUUCCCUACCAGUCAGCAAGCUGUCCUCAAUAUGGAUCCCCACUGGGACCUUGAAUGAGAUCAUGGGGACUGGAGUCAUAAACAUCUGUUGACCUGUGUUCUAGAAGGACUAAGGAGAAUUAGGAAAAAGCCCAUGAAUUAUUCAAUGAUGUCCACCAUAACUCAGGGAAAGGAAGAAAAUCCUUCUGCCUUCCUUGAGCAGCUACAGGAGGCCUUAAGAAAAUAUACUCCCCUGUCUCCCGAAUCACUCGAGGGUCAACUGAUUCUAAAAGAUAAGUUUAUUACCCAAUCAGCCGCAGAUAUCAGGAGAAAGCUCCAAAAGCAAGCCCUGGGCCCUGAACAAAAUCUGGAGGCAUUAUUAAACCUGGCAACCUCAGUGUUCUAUAAUAGGGACCAAGACGAACAAGCCCAGAAGGAAAAGUGAGAUCAGAGAAAGGCUGCAGCCUUAGUCAUGGCCCUCAGACAAACAAACCUUGGUGGUUCAGAGAGGACAGAAAAUGAAGCAGGCCAAUCACCCGGUAGGGCUUGUUAUCAGUGUGGUUUAUUAGGACACUUUAAAAAAGAUUGUCCAAUGAGAAACAAGCUGCCCCCUCGUCCACGUCCACUAUGCCGAGGCAAUCACUGGAAGGUGCACUGCUCCAGAGGAUGAAGGUUCUCUGGGUCAGAAGCCCCCAACCAGAUGAUCCAACAACAGGAUUGAGGGUGCCCGGGGCAAGUGCCAGCUCAUGUCAUCACCUUCACUGAGCCCUGGGUACAGUUAACCACUGAGGGCCAGGAAAUUGACUUCCUCCUGGACACUGGCGCAGCCUUCUCAGUGUUAAUCUCAUGUCUUAGAUGACUGUCCUCAAGGUCCCUUACCAUCCAAGGAAUCCUGGGACAGCCUGUAACCAGGUAUUUCUCCCACCUCCUCAGUUGUAAUUGGGAGACUUUGCUCUUUUCACAUGCCUUUCUUGUUAUGCCUGAAAGUCCCACACCCUUAUUAGGGAGGGAUAUAUUAGCCAAGGCUGGAGCUAUUAUCUACAUGAAUAUGGGGAACAAGUUACCCAUUUGUUGUCCCCCUACUUGAGGAGGGAAUCAACCCUGAAGUCUGGGCAUUGAAAGGACAAUUUGGAAGGGCAAAAAAUGCCCGCCCAGUCCAAAUCAGACUGAAAGACCCCACCACUUUUCCUUAUCAAAGGCAAUAUCCCUUAAGACCUGAAGCUCAUAAAGGAUUACAGGAUAUUGUUAAACAUUUAAAAGCUCAAGGCUUAGUAAGGAAAUGCAGCAGUCCCUGCAACACCCCAAUUCUAGGAGUACAAAAACCGGUCAGUGGAGACUAGUGCAAGAUCUUAGACUCAUCAAUGAGGCAGUAAUUCCUCUAUAUCCAGUUGUACUCAACCCCUAUACCCUGCUCUCUCAAAUACCAGAGGAAGCAGAAUGGUUCACUGUUCUGGACCUCAAGGAUGUCUUCUGUAUUCCCCUGCACUCUGACUCCCAGUUUCUCUUUGCCUUUGAGGAUCCCACAGACCACACGUCCCAACUUAUGUGGACAGUCUUGCCCCAAGGGCUUAGGGAUAGCCCUCACCUGUUUGGUCAGGCACUGGCCCAAGAUCUAGGCCACUUCUGAAGUCCAGGCACUCUGGUCCUUCAGUAUUUGGAUGAUUUACUUUUGGCUACCAGUUCGGAAGCUUCAUGCCAGCAGGCUACUCUAGAUUUCUUGAACUUUCUAGCUAAUCAAGGGUACAAGUGUCUAGGUCGAAGGCCCAGCUUUGCCUAUAGCAGGUCAAAUAUCUAGGCCUAAUCUUAGCCAGAGGGACCAGGGCCCUCAGCAAGGAAUGAAUACAGCCUAUACUGGCUUAUCCUCACCCUAAGACAUUAAAACAGUUGCGGGGUUCCUUGAAAUCACUGGCUUUUGCUGACUAUGGAUCCCAGGAUACAGCAAGAUAGCCAGGCCCCUCUAUACUCUAAUCAAGGAGACCCAGAGAGCAAAUACUCAUCUAGUAGAAUGGGAACCAGAGGCAGAAACAGCCUUCAAAACCUUAAAGCAGGCCCUUGUACAAGCUCCAGCUUUAAGCCUUCCCAUAGGAGAAAACUUCUCUUUAUACAUCACAGAGAGAGUAGGGAUAGCUCUUUGAGUCCUUACUCAGACUCGUGGGACAACCCCACAACCAGUGGCAUACCUAAGUAAGGAAAUUGAUGUGGUAGCAAAAGGCUGGCCUCACUGUUUACAGGUAGUUGUGGUGGUGGCUGUCUUAGUGUCAGGAGCUGUCAAAAUAAUACAAAGAAAGGAUCUCACUAUCUGGACUACUCAUGAUGUAAAUGGCAUACUAGGUGCCAAAGGAAUUUUAUGGCUAUCAGACAACUGCCUACUUAGAUACCAAGCGCUACUCCUUGAGGGACUGGUGCUUCAAAUAGGUACGUGCAUGGCCCUCAACCCUGCCACUUUUCUCCCAGAGGAUGGGGAACCAAUCGAGCAUGACUGCCAACAAAUUAUAGUCCAGACUUAUGCCGCCCGAGAUGAUCUCUUAGAAGUCCCCUUAGCUAAUCCUGACCUUAACCUAUAUACCGAUGGAAGUUCAUUUGUGGAGAAUGGGGUAUGAAGGGCAGGUUAUGCCAUAGAUAAUGAUGUAACUGUACUUGAAAGUAAGUCUCUUCCCCCAGGGACCAGUGCCCAGUUAGCAGAAGUAGUGGCACUUACUUGAGCCUUAGAACUGGGAAAGGGAAAAAGAAUAAAUGUGUAUACAAAUAGCAAGUAUGCUUAUCUAAUCCUACAUGCUCAUGCUGCAAUAUGGAAAGAAAGGGAGUUCCUAACCUCUGGGGGAACCCCCAUUAAAUACCACAAAGAAAUUAUGGAGUUAUUGCACGCAGUGCAAAAACCCAAGGAGGUGGCAGUCUUACACUGCCGAAGCCAUCAAAAAGGGGAAGGAAAGGGGAGAACAGCAGCACAAGCAGCUGGCAGAGGCAGGGAAAGACCAGCAGAGAGAAAGAGAGAGACAGAGAGAGGAAGAGACAGACAGAAAGUCAAAGAGAGAAAGAAACAGACAGAGACAAACAGGGAGUGAGAAAGAGAAAGAGACAAAAAGUCAAAGAAAGAAGGAGAGAGGAAGAGACAAAGAGGGAGUCAGAAGGAGAGAGACAAAGAAGAAGUCAAAGAGAAAGAAAGAGAGAUGGAAGUAGUAAAUAAAAAACAGUGUACCCUAUUCCUUUAAAAGCCAGGGUAAAUUUAAAACCUACAAUUGAUAAUUGAAGGUCUUCUCUGUAACCUUAUAACACUCCAAUACCACCUCAUUGUCAGUGUAAACAAGGGCAUAGCCUGAAAGCACUGAGGCCACUGACAACCCAUAGCCUUCCUAUCAAAAAUCCUUAACCCAGCAGGUUUCCUAACAGGGGAUCUAAAUCUUAACUAAUUACCAUACAAAGGUCCAACCAGCUCUAGGAGGAACUCCCUUCAGGACAGGACAAUAGAUGGUUCCUCACAGGCGAUUAAGGGAAAAAGACAUGAUGCGUAUUAAGUAGGUGAUAAGGAAACUCUUGUAGAAGCAGAGUUAGGAAAAUUGCCUGAUAAUUGGUCUGCUCAAAUGUGUGAGCUGUUUGCACUCAGCCAAACCUUAAAGUACUUACAGAAUCAGGAAGGAGCCAUCUAUACCAAUUUUAAGUUAAUAUGGACUGAACGAGGUAUUAUUAAUAGCAGAGAGUAAUUGAAAUCCCAAACUUACAAGGUUUUCAACAAAAGUAGUUUGCUAAAAGUUAACAGUGUAAACAUAUAUUAUCCUAACUUCUAAUCUUGUGGAAAUCAGACCUUAUCAGUAAUCCUCAAAGCUCAAGUUCGUCAGCACAGAGCCAUACAACUAAUACCCCUACUUAUAGGGUUAGGAAUGGCAACUGCUACAGGAACCGGAAUAGCCAGUUUAUCUACUUCAUUAUCCUACUACCACACACUCUCAAAGGAUUUCUCAGACAGUUUGCAAGAGAUAACGAAAUCUAUCCUUACUCUACAAUCCCAAAUAGACUCUUUAGCAGCAGUGACUCUCCAAAACUGCUGAGGCCUAGACCUCCUCACUGCUGAGGAAGGAGGACUCUGCACCUUCUUAGGGGAAGAGUGUUGUUUUUACACGAACCAAUCAGGGAUAGUAAGAGAUGCUGCCCGGUGUUUACAGGAAAAGGCUUCUGAAAUCAGACAAUGCCUUUCAAACUCUUAUACCAACCUCUGGAGUUGGGCAACAUGGCUUCUCCCCUUUCUAGGUCCCAUGGCAGCUAUCUUGCUGUUACUUGCCUUUGGGCCCUGUAUUUUUAACCUUCUGGUCAAAUUUGUUUCCUCUAGAAUCGAGGCCAUCAAGCUACAGAUGGUCUUACAAAUGGAACCCCAAAUGAGCUCAACUAACAACUUCUACUGAGGACCCCUGGACCGACCUGCUGGUCCUUCCACUGGCCUAAAGAGUUCCUCUCUGGAGGACACUACAACUGCAGGGCACCUUCUUUGCCACUAUCCAGCAGGAAGUAGCUAGAGCAGUCAUUGCCACUAUCCAGCAGGAAGUAGCUAGAGCAGUCAUUGGCCAAAUUCCCAACAGCAGUUGGGGUGUCCUGUUUAGAGGGGUGAUUGAGAGGUGACAACGUGCCAGCAGCCCUUGCUCGCUCUCAGCACCUCCUCGGCCUCGGCGUCCACUCUGGCCCCACUUGAGGAGCCCUUCAGCCCACCGCUACACUGUGGGAGCCCCUCUCUGGGCUGGCCAAGGCUGGAGCCGGCUCCCUCUGCUUGCGGGGAGGUGUGGAGGGAGAGGCACAGGUGGGAACCGAGGCUGCGCACAGCGCUCGCAGGCCAGCAUGAGUUCCAGGUGGGCGCUGGCUUGGCAGGCCCUGCAAUCAGAGUGGCCGGCCGGUGCCGUCAGCCCCGGGCAGUGAGGGGCUUAGCACCUGGGUCAGCAGCUGCGGAGGGUGCUCCGGGUCCCCCAGCACUGCCGGCCUGCCCGCGCCAUGCUCGAAUUCUCGCCAGGCCUCAGCCGCCUCCCUGUGGGGCAGGGCUUGGGACCUGCAGCCCGCCAUGCCAGAGCCUCCCCCCCGCCCUGAUCCCCCCCCACGCCCAUGGGCUCCCCUGCAGCCUGAGCCUCCCCAACGGGCACGGCCCCCUGCUCCAUGGCAACCAGUCCCGUCACCACCCAAGGGCUGAGGAGUGCAGGUGCAGGGCAUGGGACUGGCGAGGAGCUCCACCCACAGCCCUGGCGCAGGAUCCACUAGGCAAAGCCAGCUGGGCUCCUGAGUCAGGUGGGGACUUGGAGAACUUUUAUGUCUAGCUGGAAGAUUGUAAAUGCACCAAUCAGCACCCUGUAUCUAGCUCAAGGUUUGUAAACGCACCAAUCAGUGCUCUGUGUCUAGCUAAUCUAGUGGAGACUUGGAGAACUUUUAUGUCUAGCUGGAAAAUUGUAAAUGCACCAAUCAGCACUUUGUGUUUAGCUCAAGGUUUGUAAACGCACCAGUCAGCACCCUGUUAAAGUGGGCCAAUCAGCUCUCUGUAAAACGGGCCAAUCAGCUCUCUGUAAAACAGAUCAAUCAGCAGGAUGUGGGUGGGGUCAGAUAAGGGAAUAAAAGCAGGCUGCCUGAGCCAGCAGUGGUGACCCGCUGGGGUCCUCUUCCACACUGUGGAAGCUUUGUUUCUUCACUCUUCACAAUAAAUCUUGCUGCUGCUCACUCUUUGGGUCCGCGUGGCCUUUAUGAGCUGUAACACGCACCACGAAGGUCUGCAGCUUCACUCCUGAAGUCAGCGAGACCACGAACCCACCAGAAGGAAGAAACUCCGGACACAUCUGAACAUCUAAAGGAACAAACUCUGGACACACCAUCUUUAAGAACUGUAACACUCACUGCAAGGGUCUGCGGCUUCAUUUUUGAAGUCAGCGAGACCAAGAACCCACUAAUUCUGGACACAGCAGCUACUUGGGAGGCUGACGUAGGAGAAUCCCUUGAACCUGGGAGGUGGAGGUUGCAGUGAGCUGAGAUUGCAUCACUGCAAUCCAGCCUGGAGACAGAGCAAGACUAAGUCUCAAAAAAACAAAACAAAACAAAAAACAAACAAACCCAAAGUCUUACUAUGGCAUCAAAGAAGAAUAAAUUCUGAAUGAUGAGA
Long non-coding RNA from Homo sapiens (human), 7318 nucleotides. RefSeq lists it as uncharacterized. NCBI's taxonomy places the organism in Eukaryota, Metazoa, Chordata, Mammalia, Primates, Hominidae. The transcript has 2 exons. The record is from RefSeq and is a predicted model, not a curated record.